RNAcentral lists this ribosomal RNA (497 nucleotides) under uncultured bacterium. RNAcentral's name for it is "partial 16S ribosomal RNA". It matches the Rfam family "Bacterial small subunit ribosomal RNA", at positions 28 to 507 of the family's 1533-position model. The record is from RNAcentral.
GACGAACGCUGGCGGCGUGCCUAAUACAUGCAAGUUGAGCGCUGAAGGAUGGUACUUGUACCAACUGGAUGAGCAGCGAACGGGCGAGUAACGCGUGGGGAAUCUGCCUUUGAGCGGGGGACAACAUUUGGAAACGAAUGCUAAUACCGCCUCAAAACUUUAACCGCAAGAUUUAAGUUUGAAAGAUGCCAUUGCAUCACUCAAAGAUGAUCCCGCGUUGUGUUAGCUAGGUGGUGAGGUAAAGGCCCACCAAGGCGAUGAUACAUAGUCGACCUGAGAGGGUGAUCGGCCAAAUUGGGACUGAGACACGGCCCCAACUCCUUCGGGAGGCAGCAGUAGGGAAUCUUUGGCAAUGGACGGAAGACUGACCGAGCAAAGCCGCGUGAGGGAAGAAGGUUUUCGGAUUGUAAAACUCUGUUUGUAGGGAAGAACGUUGGUGAGAGUGGAAAGCUCAUCAAGUGACGGUAACUACCCAGAAAGGGACGGCUAACUACGUG